Molecule: ribosomal RNA, 253 nt
Filed under: uncultured bacterium
Lineage: Bacteria
Description: partial 16S ribosomal RNA
Rfam family: Bacterial small subunit ribosomal RNA
Source: RNAcentral
GACAGAGGUGCCAAGCGUUAGGCGGAAUCACUGGGCUUAAAGCGUGUGUAGGCGGGUGCCUAAGUACCUUGUGAAAUCCCACGGCUCAACCGUGGAACUGCUGGGUAUACUGGGUGCCUUGGGUCAUCUAGGGGCUGCCGGAACAAAUGGUGGAGCGGUGAAAUGCGUAGAGAUCCGGAGGAACACCAAAGGCGAAGGCAGUGUCCUGGGGAGUACCUGACGCUCAGGUGCGAAAGCCAGGGGAGCGAACGGG